This 590-nucleotide long non-coding RNA is filed under the name Cyanistes caeruleus (blue tit). Its description in RNAcentral is "lncRNA (ENSCCEG00000014116.1)". Lineage: Eukaryota; Metazoa; Chordata; Aves; Passeriformes; Paridae. The record is from RNAcentral.
AAACAAUGCACAAGAUAAACAGCCUAUGUAUUUUGUGUCACUUAUUGCCAUAAACUUCCAUGUCCUUUAUUGAUUCACACAGGAAAUCUUACUGUCUGAUAGUCUGAAAAAGAAGUUUGAUUCAUCUGGAUCUCCCCAAGCCUCUUCAUAUCAUCAAGUUAUUAGAAAAAAUGUUUGAAUGAUGAAGGACCUUCACCUUCCAGUAAACACUAUGAGUUACUGUUUAUUAUUGAGAUCGCCUGCAGAAGAAAGACUACUCACAAAACAGAGAAAUAAGGACUAUACUGUCAACACUAAAGUUGGUCAGAAGUGGAUAACUUUAAAAGGAGAAGGUAGGAUGUCAAACACUAGGUUUUGUUAUGACUGAAUAUUUGCCUUUGGCUUAACAGCACUGAAGCAUGUAGUAUGAAGUUCUAUUAUAGUAUUCUAUAUACUAUGAAGUAUGUGUUCUAUUAAUCCAUGUUAGGAAAAAAUCCCUGAGCAAAGUAUAUUUCCUAUCAUAGAGAGUUUCAUUUUGUAGGGUUUAUAAUACAGGGAUUCAAGUCAAGUCCUUAGCUUUACAAAAAGAGAAGAAUAAGUAAAUGCCUGUG